This 381-nucleotide ribosomal RNA is filed under the name uncultured bacterium. RNAcentral's name for it is "bacterial SSU rRNA". It matches the Rfam family "Bacterial small subunit ribosomal RNA", at positions 772 to 1153 of the family's 1533-position model. The record is from RNAcentral.
ACUCAAUAGAUACCCAGGUAGUCCACGCCCUAAACGAUGUCUACUAGUUGUUGGUGGAGUAAAAUCCAUGAGUAAACGCAGCUAACGCGUGAAGUAGACCGCCUGGGGAGUACGGUCGCAAGAUUAAAACUCAAAUGAAUUGACGGGGGCCCGCACAAGCGGUGGAUUAUGUGGAUUAAUUCGAUGCAACGCGAAACCCUACCUGGCCUUGACAUGUAACGAACUUUCCAGAGAUGGAUUGGUGCUCGAAAGAGAACGUUAACACAGGUGCUGCAUGGCUGUCGUCAGCUCGUGUCGUGAGAUGUUGGGUUAAGUCCCGCAACGAGCGCAACCCUUGCCAUUAAUUGCCAUCAUUUAGUUGGGCACUUUAAUGGGACUGCC